RNAcentral lists this ribosomal RNA (354 nucleotides) under Escherichia coli. RNAcentral describes it as "partial 23S ribosomal RNA". It matches the Rfam family "Bacterial large subunit ribosomal RNA", at positions 612 to 967 of the family's 2925-position model. Lineage: Bacteria; Pseudomonadati; Pseudomonadota; Gammaproteobacteria; Enterobacterales; Enterobacteriaceae. RNAcentral also lists the same sequence under 1 other name. The record is from RNAcentral.
AUAAUGGGUCAGCGACUUAUAUUCUGUAGCAAGGUUAACCGAAUAGGGGAGCCGAAGGGAAACCGAGUCUUAACUGGGCGUUAAGUUGCAGGGUAUAGACCCGAAACCCGGUGAUCUAGCCAUGGGCAGGUUGAAGGUUGGGUAACACUAACUGGAGGACCGAACCGACUAAUGUUGAAAAAUUAGCGGAUGACUUGUGGCUGGGGGUGAAAGGCCAAUCAAACCGGGAGAUAGCUGGUUCUCCCCGAAAGCUAUUUAGGUAGCGCCUCGUGAAUUCAUCUCCGGGGGUAGAGCACUGUUUCGGCAAGGGGGUCAUCCCGACUUACCAACCCGAUGCAAACUGCGAAUACCGGA